CCUUAAGAGCUACUUCACACAAUGUCGCAAUGAGCUCGUCUGUGGAUAAAAUAAUCCGUCUUUGUUUGAGUGAUGCUUUUAAUAAUAUUUUUUAAAGCGGCAGGUUUCUACAAAGUCUGGCAGACAUUUCGCUAUCUUCUUUUCUGGAUAUAUACCACAGGGUGUGUUGGCUUCUGGGGAUUAUGACGCCCACAAUAAUAUAGUAUCCUACAUAAAUUUGGCUGGGACGUUUGCUGUUAACAAGGACCAACAAACAGCCAGGAAGAUUGCCUUGGACACUGCACUGGUACUGGCUUUUUCACAGCUGGUCUGCAUUUGAGAGAACAGUUGCUAAGUGCUUGAAAACUCAACAGCCUCAAAAAAGGUUUGAAAACCCUGGGGGGUUCUGGAGGCAAUGUCGGAAAAUCCAGCUACUCUUGCAAAGGUCAUAUGUCACCCUCAGCACUACACCUACAGCAACUUCUCUGCUCUGACGGAGCCUGAAUUGAAUCUGUCGGUCUCUUCCAAAAGGAACACGGAGAACCCUCUUUAUUGAAAUUCAAG
Long non-coding RNA from Ictalurus punctatus (channel catfish), 543 nucleotides. The record is from Ensembl. NCBI's taxonomy places the organism in Eukaryota, Metazoa, Chordata, Actinopteri, Siluriformes, Ictaluridae.